This 497-nucleotide ribosomal RNA is filed under the name uncultured bacterium. RNAcentral's name for it is "partial 16S ribosomal RNA". It matches the Rfam family "Bacterial small subunit ribosomal RNA", at positions 28 to 507 of the family's 1533-position model. The record is from RNAcentral.
GAUGAACGCUGGCGGCGUGCCUAAUACAUGCAAGUCGAGCGAACAGACGAGGAGCUUGCUCCUCUGACGUUAGCGGCGGACGGGUGAGUAACACGUGGAUAACCUACCUAUAAGACUGGGAUAACUUCGGGAAACCGGAGCUAAUACCGGAUAAUAUAUUGCACCGCAUGGUUCAAUAGUGAAAGACGGUUUUGCUGUCACUUAUAGAUGGAUCCGCGCCGCAUUAGCUAGUUGGUAAGGUAACGGCUUACCACGGCGACGAUGCGUAGCCGACCUGAGAGGGUGAUCGGCCACACUGGAACUGAGACACGGUCCAGACUCCUACGGGAGGCAGCAGUAGGGAAUCUUCCGCAAUGGGCGAAAGCCUGACGGAGCAACGCCGCGUGAGUGAUGAAGGUCUUCGGAUCGUAAAACUCUGUUAUUAGGGAAGAACAAAUGUGUAAGUAACUAUGCACGUCUUGACGGUACCUAAUCAGAAAGCCACGGCUAACUACGUG